ACUCAAGAACUUUACUCAACAUCACAGUGUUCAUACAGGAGAUGUGCAAUGCAAAUGCAAAGAAUGUGACAAAACUUCUAAUAAAAGCUCCAAUCUUAUUUGUCACCAGUGGACACACCCUGGAGAGAUGCCCCACAUAUGUAAACAAUUUUGCAAAGCUUUUAGUCAAAAACCAAGCCUUAAAAAUCACCAGAGAAUUCAUACAGGAGAGAAGCCCUACAAAUGUA
This 227-nucleotide long non-coding RNA is filed under the name Marmota monax (woodchuck). The record is from RNAcentral. Lineage: Eukaryota; Metazoa; Chordata; Mammalia; Rodentia; Sciuridae.